This is a ribosomal RNA of 1959 nucleotides. It matches the Rfam family "Eukaryotic small subunit ribosomal RNA".
CCAUAUGCUUGUCUCAAAGAUUAAGCCAUGCAGGUCUCAGUACGGCCUCUAGCGAACAGGCGAAACCGCGAAUGGCUCAUUAAAUCAGUUAUGGUUCCUUAGAGCUUACGUUGUCUUACUUGGAUAACCGUGGUAAUUCUAGAGCUAAUACAUGCACUUAUGCUCCGACCCUCGGGAACGAGCGCUUUUAUUAGACCGCAACGACCGCAUCCGCUGAGGCUCUGGGUCUCGGCCCGGGCCUCGGACGUGUUUGCGUGGUGACUCUGGAUAACUCUGCCGAUCGGCCGGCGAUCCCCGAGAGGGGGUCCAGUCCGGCCGACGCACCUUUCAAGUGUCUGCCUUAUCAACUGUCGACGGUAGGUUAAAUGCCUACCGUGGUAGUAACGGGUGACGGGGAAUCAGGGUUCGAUUCCGGAGAGGAAGCCUGAGAAACGGCUACCACAUCCAAGGAAGGCAGCAGGCUCGCAAAUUACCCACUCCCGGCACGGGGAGGUAGUGACGAAAAAUAACGAUGCGGGACUCGGUCGAGACCCCGCCAUCGGAAUGAGUACACUCUAAAUCCUUUAACGAGGAUCCACCGGAGGGCAAGUCUGGUGCCAGCAGCUGCGGUAAUUCCAGCUCCGGUAGCAUAUGCUAAAGUUGCUGCGGUUAAAAAGCUCGUAGUUGGAUCUCAGUCUCGGCCGCUCGGUCUCGCCCGUGUUGGCGGGUCUCGAUGCGGCCGGUCAGAAUGUCGGCCGCCCGGGAUGAUCUUGACCGGUUGUCUCGGAACGGCCGGCGAGUUUACUUUGAAAAAAUCAGAGUGCUCAGAGCGGGCGUUAUCCGCCCGGACGCCCGUGCAUGGAAUAAUGGAAGAGGACCUCGGUUCNANUCUGUUGGUCSACGAACCCNGAGGUAAUGAUUAAGAGGAACGGCCGGGGGCGAUCGUACCGCGACGCUAGAGGUGAAAUUCUUGGACCGUCGCGUGACGCACCACAGCGAAAGCAUUCGUCAAGAACGCUUCCGUUAAUCAAGAACGAAAGUCAGAGGUUCGAAGGCGAUCAGAUACCGCCCUAGUUCUGACCAUAAACGAUGCCGACCAGCGAUCGGGCUGCGCUCGCCACGACGAGGCGCCCGGAAGCUUUCCGGGAAACCAGAGUCUCUGGGUUCCGGGGGAAGUAUGGUUGCAAAGCUGAAACUUAAAGGAAUUGACGGAAGGGCACCACCAGGAAUGGAGCCUGCGGCUUAAUUUGACUCAACACGGGAAAACUCACCCGGCCCGGACACGGGAAGGAUUGACAGACUGAUUGCUCUUUCUUGAUUCUGUGGGUGGUGGUGCAUGGCCGUUCUUAGUUGGUGGAGCGAUUUGUCUGGUUGAUUCCGAUAACGAACGAGACUCUAGCCUGCUAAAUAGCGAGGUUUUGUGAAGCGGGGUCUUUACCGAUUCUCGUAUCGUUUYRGUGCGGCGCCGCGUCACUUCGGUGGUCGCGGUGUUCGUGGCUGGACGUUACGGCGAAGGAGUUAAACUCCGUAAACCUCCGAUAUCUCUUCUUAGAGGGACAAGCGACGCAUUAAAGUCGCGCGAGGAAGAGCGAUAACAGGUCUGUGAUGCCCUUAGAUGUCCGGGGCCGCACGCGCGCUACACUGACGCCCACAGCGUGCGCGCUCGCCCGGUCCGACAGGAUCGGGGAACCCCUUCAACGGACGUCGUGAUGGGGACAGGGGAUUGGAAUUGUUCCCCUCGAACGAGGAAUUCCCAGUAAGCGCGAGUCACUAGCUCGCGUUGAUUACGUCCCUGCCCUUUGUACACACCGCCCGUCGCUACUACCGAUUGAACGGUUCGGUGAGGUCCUCGGACUGGCUUACGCUGGAGGGACCCUGUCUGCUUUUGCUUCACGGCGGGGCAGUUAUUCCCGAUGCGGUAGCCGGAAAGUCGAUCGAACCGUAUCGUUUAGAGGAAGUAAAAGUCGUAACAAGGUUUCC